Molecule: long non-coding RNA, 1753 nt
Filed under: Marmota monax (woodchuck)
Lineage: Eukaryota; Metazoa; Chordata; Mammalia; Rodentia; Sciuridae
Source: RNAcentral
CCUGCUGUGAGGAGCGAGGGGUAGCGCAGCGAGGGGGAGAGACCCCCCGUCAGUCUCCUUGAAGACAGGGAGCAGCAGAACUGUUGGCUGUCGCCAGCUCAAAUGCUCACCACCUUAGGGAGGGGCCACCCUGUCAGGCCAGACUGCAACCUCAGCCUGUCCCAUGUGGCCACUGGCCUCUCCAGGACACAAGGCCACCAGGACCCUGGACAACACGUCCCAAACCCCUUCAUGGUCUGCAGAGGCCGUGGUGCCUGCUAAUGUGCAGUGGCACUUUCCGGCUUCUGAAGGCAGCCUGUGAGCUCCAUCUGUACAAAACGCCUGAGGCCUCCUCCCUGUUCCCACCCUGCCACCAGGAGUGACAAGUGUGCACUGACCAUUACUAUGUGAUAACCAGGACGUGGCCCCUGGAAGCAGCAGCCCUGCCCAGAGUGUCACGACCUGUGUGGCAGGAGCUCCCUGCUCUCUGCCUGGCUCUCAGGAGGCCCAGGACGGCCGUGGCCAGGAGGACUGCCAUGCGCACGGUGCGUUGGCCCUGCUCCCCGUGGCCGCUGUCUUCAGAAGCUGGCUGGCUGCCUCAUGUGUCAGAAUCAGUAAGAAUGCCUGGGCGAAAGCCCUUCUGUUCCCAUCACUGUUACACCAACGGCCACAGGAGCAGAGAACUAGGAAACCACAAGACUGUCCCAGACAGAAUUCACAAGAGAAGUGGGGCACCCAGGCCUGCUUCUCUGUGCCAAGCCACCUGACCCGUGUGCUUUCCAGACUUCAGGUGCACCAGUUAGACUCCAGGCCUCCGUAGUCAGUCACAGAGCAGGGACCCCAACCAAGGACCUUGUUACUUAAAGAGAAUCUGCAAAUUAGCUCCCUUGAGUAACCAUCAGUAGGUUAACAUCUUCUGACAGGAAUUUGCAUUUUAUUACCUUCUACCUUGCGUAAUUGAUGAAAACUAAAUGAGAUUAUUAAUGUUCUGUGAAUAGUGUAAUACUUGGCUAAACCUUGCCUCUAAAAGCAUUAUACUUGCUCCCAUUAAAUUUACAUUGUUCAGUGAUGAAAGUUCUCUUAGGCAGUCUCCAAAUAUGUCUGCGUGGUCAGAAGAGUGCUUCAUUAACUCACUUUAAACAGAGUGCUGGAUCACUGGGCUUGGAAACUUUUCCAAACUAGAAUUAUCAUUGUCCUAUUCUACAGGGUAACACUUUGAAAUAUCCAUUGUUUGUCCAGAUGAUGAAGACUGACUUCAUACAAUUACAGCAGCCAGAUACGGCUGGGUAACAAACAACCCCUCAACCACCAGUGGCAUCAAGAGCACUUGGCUCCUGGGUCUUUGAGGUGGCGAGGUGGUUCUGCCUGGCCCCUGGCACCCGGCUGACUUUGCUUACUGCUGCAAGUCUAGAGAUAGCUUGACUAGCUCUGCUCAACACAUAACGUGGUCCUCCCUUACCAGGGUUGGGCUUCAUGAGAGUGCAAAAGCCAUGUGCCUUCAACAGAGAUUGUGCUUCAGAUUUUGCAUUUUGGUCCUUAUUGACCUUUUUGUGUUUUAAUUUUCUCCUGGACUACCAUAUGCUGUAUGAUUCUCUUGGUGCUGGGCAGAGGCAGAGAGCACUAGCUCGCAUUUCACCAGCUGGGGCUCUACAGUGCACUGUCGUAGGCACGAUGUUCAGUGGGGUGAGUGUGUCAAAUGUAUUUUAAUGUGUGGGCCAAUGAGACAGAGGGCAGCACGCAAAACUCACGAGAUAACAAGCAGGGUUGCAGGGCC